AUGUAUCUGAUCAGCACAAGCCAAAGAUUGCCCACAUGCGGCCGGGGAGCCUUGGGGCCGGCGGUGUGUGAGUGGCACAAACCCCCGCAGAGGGAGGGUUCUCGUUCAGCAGGUUCACUUCUGAGAAUCCACCAAAGUGAGGUCAAAAGCAGCGCUCGAAAACUUGAGUUCCAUGCUGUUUGCCUCCAAGUGCCUCCCAAGGAGAAAGCUGGUCAAUUCAUCGUGGCAGGUACAGACAACGGGACAGGUACAGACAAUGGGACAUCUAAGGACAAGGGGACAGGUACAGACAAUGGCCCAGGUAAGGACAAUGGGACAGGUAAGGACAACGGGACAGGUGUGGAGAACGGGACAUCUAAGGACAACGGGACAGGUACGGACAAUGGGACAGGUACUGUGACAAUGGGACAGGUACAGACAAUGAGACAGGUAAGGACAGUGGG
RNAcentral lists this long non-coding RNA (443 nucleotides) under Sus scrofa (pig). Its description in RNAcentral is "lncRNA (ENSSSCG00040018641.1)". Lineage: Eukaryota; Metazoa; Chordata; Mammalia; Artiodactyla; Suidae. The record is from RNAcentral.